AUGGAUGGAAGCAAUCACAGUGGAGUCUCUGAGUUCCUGCUCCUAGGGCUCUCAGAGAGUCCUGAGCAGCAGCAGGUUCUGUUCUGGAUGUUCCUGUCCAUGUACCUGGUCACAGUGGUGGGAAAUGUGCUCAUCAUCCUGGCCAUCAGAUUUGAUCCCCACCUGCACACUCCCAUGUACUUCUUCCUGGCCAACCUCUCCUUCACAGACCUCUUCUUUGUCACCAAUACAAUCCCCAAGAUGCUGGUGAGCCUUCAGUCUCAGAACAAGCCAUCUCCUAUGUGGGGUGUCUAACACAGCUCUACUUCCUGGUCUCCUUGGUGGCCCUGGACAACCUCAUCCUGGCCACAAUGGCAUAUGAUCGCUAUGUGGCCAUCUGCCGCCCCCUCCACUACACCACGGCCAUGAGCCCUGGGCUCUGUGUUUUGCUCCUCACCUUGUGUUGGGCACUUUCUGUCCUCUAUGGCCUCACCCAUACCCUCCUUAUGACCAGGGUGACAUUCUGUGGUUCCCGGAAGAUCCACUACAUCUUCUGUGAGAUGUACGUCCUGCUGAGGCUUUCAUGUUCCAACAUCCAAGUCAAUCACACAGUGCUGAUUGCUACAGGGUCCUUCAUCUUCCUCGCCCCACUAGGGUUCAUGAUCAUGUCCUAUGUCUGCAUCGUCAGAGCCAUCCUCCGAAUACCCUCAGCCUCUAGCAAGUAUAAAGCCUUCUCUACAUGUUCCUCCCAUUUGGCUGUGGUCUCCCUCUUCUAUGGGACACUUUGUAUGGUAUAUCUGCAGCCCCUCCAAACGUACUCCACGAAGGACUCAGUAGCCACAGUGAUGUAUGCUGUGGUGACCCCCAUGAUGAACCCUUUCAUCUACAGCCUGAGGAAUAAGGACAUGCAUGGGGCUCUGGGAAGACUGCUCCUAGGAAAAGCCUUCCAGAGGUUGACAUGA
Odobenus rosmarus divergens (Pacific walrus) is the source of this 941-nucleotide RNA transcript. It is a transcript of the gene named olfactory receptor 1D2-like, with no coding region annotated. The record is from RefSeq and is a predicted model, not a curated record. Lineage: Eukaryota; Metazoa; Chordata; Mammalia; Carnivora; Odobenidae. The transcript has a single exon.